Molecule: long non-coding RNA, 2945 nt
Organism: Mesocricetus auratus (golden hamster)
Lineage: Eukaryota; Metazoa; Chordata; Mammalia; Rodentia; Cricetidae
Exons: 3
Source: RefSeq, a predicted model, not a curated record
UACUCCUAAUUCCGUCUGCACUCUGACACGAACAGAAAGUUCACUCCCAUGGCUGCUUGGUGCUCAUCCUCUGAACACUGACUGCUGGAAGCAAAAGGGACUCUGCAGACGAAGCGAGCUCCACUGCCCUCUGCAAACGGUGCUCUCAGGAGAGCCGUCUCCAUAGCAUCUUCCUGGGCUUUCACACUCACCGCCGAGAUAGAUUGUGGGCUACGAAGGGAUUUUCUGACAAGUCCACACAUGUCUCUGUCUUACAGUGAAUAAAUGUGCAGUGGCCCUCACUGCCUGUUAAAGAUGUGAUCACUUGUGUGUGGUUGAAUGUACCUGCCUUGCAAGAAAAGGAAAUCCUUUUCUUAAACCAGACUUGGGGAGUGAUGUUGCUGGCCAGGAGGAGAAUGGGCAAAUGCAGGUCUGAACACAAUGGAGGAAUCAGCACAUAUUGGCAGCUGGCAUAACAGAAAAUCAAAGUUGAGCCUCUUGUUGACUCAUGAGCUCAAUCCUACGAGGGAAGGAACAGGUUUCCUGCGUUACAGGAUCUUGCUUCCAGCCAUCGAUAGACAUUAUCAUCUACGGAUGUGUGGUUGCAUUUCAUAGCUAUCCUGGGACAUCUGUGGGCUGCACGUUGGACGCAUCUGCAGAAGCUUAAAUGCAACAUGGUGAUUUGAAAGUAAGCUGUGAGAGAAAGAAGACAAACUUCAGAUUUCAAAGACUGCAUUAGUCAAGCGCCGUUCGCAAUUCGGAGGUGGGGCCGGCAGCACUGACACCCGCCUGCGUCUUUAGUCUUUAGUCAUCUACAGGCCUGCGUCUUUAGUCUUUAGUCAUCUACAGGCCUGUGGCUUUAGUCUUUAGUCAUCUACAGGCCUGCGUCUUUAGUCUUUAGUCAUCUAUACGCCUGCGUCUUUAGUCUUUAGUCAUCUACAGGCCUGCGUCUUUAGUCUUUAGUCAUCUAUACGCCUGCGUCUUUAGUCUUUAGUCAUCUACAGGCCUGUGGCUUCAGUCAUCUGGUACUCCCUCCUCUGCUCCUCUCUGCCAGGUGAGUGGCUCGUCUCAUUCCACCACACUUUGGCCCCAAUCUGAGAACACAACCAUUACUUCAGCUUUAAUAAUGCAUUUCUUUCUCCACUCAUAACAAGGCGUUCUUCCCAGUUGUGAUAGCUAUGGUUUUUCUGCUUACCUCAUUGCUUUCCCUGAAAGUUUAAGUGACCCAGCCUGGGGUGAGUGCUUUGGUUAUGUACAGUCACACAUAUCAUUUAUCUUUCCUGGAAUGCAGUCAUCGGAGAAGCUUGAAUAAGCACUGGCUUGUGGUGGAAAGAUUUCUGUUAUGACGUUAUCGCAACAUUUUAUAAGCAUCAUCUGAGAAUUCAUAGGCUGAAUUUUAUUAAAUUAAUCAUCAGAUUAGCAUACACUUAGACAACAAUGAGCCAAGAGUUUGGGGAUGUGGAAAUAACUUAUUCUUUUUCACAUGCAUCAUGUGCUCCAAACCUACCAAGAGUUGCCUAAUUCAUUCUCGGAAUUGGAUUUCUUAGUUGGCUUCAUUUGGCUGUAAAGAUCAGAAUCUCUCCCAAAUUUCCUUGAGAGACAGAGCAUCUCUGUAAUGGAUACAAAUGGUUUAAAACAGUGUGGGACCUGACUGGUCCUGGGGUGGGGUACCUUGUGGCCUCUAAGUGUCUCUCUAGGCCUCUUUCAUCUUCAGGCUUUUUUCUUCCUGCCCACGUGGCCAGCACCAAGAUACAAAACCAGUCCCAACCAUCUGCAAACUGAGGGUGUUCUGUGUGCCAAUCUUGCGGUAUUCGAUGCACACUAACUUGCCCCUCCAGCUGCUGUCAUUGAAGUCUGACUGGCACAUGAAUUGGUAUUCCCUUAAUCCAGACUCACACAUGGGGCAUCAUCUCUUCUUAGAAGUUCAUGCUUUUACUUCCCGGUUAGGAUUACAGAAUGCAAGGGUGUAAUUUGACCAGCUUAUUUUUGGGCUCUGCUACACAGUCAGCCUGUGAGUUGGCUUCCGUUCCCUCAGCUGCAGAGCUCUGGAACAUUCCCCGGCGAGUGUUUGCUUAGCUCAGAACACUGGGGUGAGACUGCUCUAUGCCUGCAAGUGGGAUGGGUUCCUCCAGGAGAAGCUCUAAGAGUGACAAGUACUAUUCAAAGCAGCCACACAAGGAGUGGAAACAGGGUGUUGUGUGUUGAGUAAAGCAACCUGUGAUUUGGGAAGUGCCUUCUAGUCAUUCAUGUGUGAAUGGCAUGCAUUAGGGCGUAGUCACUUCUGGGCUGAAAGACUCAUGACUAUAAUGACAUAAGAGCCUCAGAGUUUAUAUGAGGACGUGCUUUUCCAUGCAUUGUACUAGAGCACCUAUAUGGUGUUAUUUGAGGGUCCUCAAAAGAGAAACUUGUCUCAGAAUCCAUCUCUGUAGCUCUGCCUGCCUUUAACACAAUGUCUUGGGCCAGAGCAGAUGGUUAUCUUGCUGGCAUUUUCACCACUACUCCUAUUUUCCUGCCUCGUUUCUAGCUUCUCAUGACUCCUCCCACACAUCUGCUCCUACACAUCUGAUCAAAAACCUUAGACUUUUUUUUUGCUAAUUUCUACCGCCAUCCAUGUUCCAGAAGACAUUGACCCCACCAACCUGAGUCUACCCAUGCUCUUCAUCAGAACCCUGGAACUAUAAUGUUUAGGCUUCCUGCUUAUUCUCAGCAUCUUGUUUUUAAGGCAGAGUCUCUCUAUAUAUACCCCAGUCUGGCUUUGAACCCAAGGUCCUCUUGCUUCAGCUUCCUGAAUGCUGAGAGUUUUGAAUUUUCUCUCCACUUUAGAUUAUGUUUUUAACAUGCGUUAGUCAAGAUGACAACUGAAUGAGUUCCUGGCUAUGAUUAUAUCUGAAGUCCUAGCAUAGCAUCUGAUACAUGAUAAGAGCCAAUAAAUAUCUAUUCAAAUGAAUAAAAUUACAAUAAAACCA